AGGUGGGGUAGAGGUUGCGGGUUAUUAAGAGUACUUGUAAUGAGACAGGGAGAGUCGGUGAUUUACAAGGAAAGGAAUGCCCGCCGAAGUGUUGGGAGUGUCCCGCUCUCAAUGCUGGGGUUGUGCCGAACAGGUACAACACUGUCACAGGAGGUAUUUCCUUCAUAUUUCCUGUGGAGCACUAUCUUACUA
This 192-nucleotide non-coding RNA is filed under the name Desulforamulus hydrothermalis. Its description in RNAcentral is "Desulfotomaculum hydrothermale Lysine sequence". It matches the Rfam family "Lysine riboswitch aptamer". Rfam says of the family: Riboswitches are metabolite binding domains within certain messenger RNAs that serve as precision sensors for their corresponding targets. Allosteric rearrangement of mRNA structure is mediated by ligand binding, and this results in modulation of gene expression. RNAcentral also lists the same sequence under 1 other name. Lineage: Bacteria; Bacillati; Bacillota; Clostridia; Eubacteriales; Peptococcaceae. The record is from RNAcentral.